UAUGGAGCUUUAACUAACUAGCCCAAAGAAAACAAACUCAACCACCAAGGGAUAACAACACUCUUCAUGGACUAGCAGUUUUGGUUGGGGUGACCUCGGAGAACAAAAAAUCCUCCGAGCGAUUUUAAAGACUAGACCUACAAGUCAAACCCAAUUAUCGCUUAUUGAUCCAAAAAACUUGAUCAACGGAACAAGUUACCCUA
This 203-nucleotide ribosomal RNA is filed under the name Rupicapra rupicapra (chamois). RNAcentral's name for it is "partial 16S ribosomal RNA". The record is from RNAcentral. Lineage: Eukaryota; Metazoa; Chordata; Mammalia; Artiodactyla; Bovidae.